RNAcentral lists this ribosomal RNA (254 nucleotides) under uncultured bacterium. Its description in RNAcentral is "partial 16S ribosomal RNA". It matches the Rfam family "Bacterial small subunit ribosomal RNA", at positions 524 to 776 of the family's 1533-position model. The record is from RNAcentral.
CACGUAGGGUGCGAGCGUUGUCCGGAAUUAUUGGGCGUAAAGAGCUCGUAGGCGGUGUGUCGCGUCGGCCGUGAAAACCUGCAGCUUAACUGUGGGCUUGCGGUCGAUACGGACAUCACUGGAGUUCGGCAGGGGAGACUGGAAUUCCUGGUGUAGCGGUGAAAUGCGCAGAUAUCAGGAGGAACACCGGUGGCGAAGGCGGCCUGCUGGGACGUGGCUGACGCUGAGGCGCGACAGCGUGGGGAGCAAACAGG